GAUGAACGCUGGCGGCGUGCCUAAUACAUGCAAGUCGAGCGAACAGACGAGGAGCUUGCUCCUCUGACGUUAGCGGCGGACGGGUGAGUAACACGUGGAUAACCUACCUAUAAGACUGGGAUAACUUCGGGAAACCGGAGCUAAUACCGGAUAAUAUAUUGAACCGCAUGGUUCAAUAGUGAAAGACGGUUUUGCUGUCACUUAUCGAUGGAUCCGCGCCGCAUUAGCUAGUUGGUAAGGUAACGGCUUACCAAGGCAACGAUGCGUAGCCGACCUGAGAGGGGGAUCGGCCACACUGGAACUGAGACACGGUCCAGACUCCUGCGGGAGGCAGCAGACGGGAAUCGUCCGCAAUGGGCGAAAGCCUGACGGAGCAACGCCGCGUGAGUGAUGAAGGUCUUCGGAGCGUAAAACUCUGUUAUUAGGGAAGAACAAAUGUGUAAGUAACUAUGCACGUCUUGACGGUACCUAAUCAGAAAGCCACGGCUAACUACGUG
Molecule: ribosomal RNA, 497 nt
Filed under: uncultured bacterium
Lineage: Bacteria
Description: partial 16S ribosomal RNA
Rfam family: Bacterial small subunit ribosomal RNA
Source: RNAcentral